Molecule: transfer RNA, 72 nt
Filed under: Loxodonta africana (African savanna elephant)
Lineage: Eukaryota; Metazoa; Chordata; Mammalia; Proboscidea; Elephantidae
Rfam family: tRNA
About the family: Transfer RNA (tRNA) molecules are approximately 80 nucleotides in length. Their secondary structure includes four short double-helical elements and three loops (D, anti-codon, and T loops). Further hydrogen bonds mediate the characteristic L-shaped molecular structure. tRNAs have two regions of fundamental functional importance: the anti-codon, which is responsible for specific mRNA codon recognition, and the 3' end, to which the tRNAs corresponding amino acid is attached (by aminoacyl-tRNA synthetases). tRNAs cope with the degeneracy of the genetic code in two manners: having more than one tRNA (with a specific anti-codon) for a particular amino acid; and 'wobble' base-pairing, i.e. permitting non-standard base-pairing at the 3rd anti-codon position.
Source: Rfam by way of RNAcentral
GCCCUGGUUGUGCAGUGGUUAAGUGUUCGGCUGCUAACUGAAAGGUUGGUGGUUCGAACCCAUCCAGUGGCU